UACGUAGGGUGCAAGCGUUGUCCGGAAUUAUUGGGCGUAAAGAGCUCGUAGGUGGCGGGUCACGUCGGGUGUGAAAGCCCGGGGCUUAACUCCGGGUCUGCAUUCGAUACGGGUCUGCUGGGGUCCGGCAGGGGAAACUGGAAUUCCUGGUGUAGCGGUGAAAUGCGCAGAUAUCAGGAGGAACACCGGUGGCGAAGGCGGGUCUCUGGGCCGGUACCGACGCUGAGGAGCGAAAGCGUGGGGAGCGAACAGG
This 253-nucleotide ribosomal RNA is filed under the name uncultured bacterium. Its description in RNAcentral is "partial 16S ribosomal RNA". It matches the Rfam family "Bacterial small subunit ribosomal RNA", at positions 524 to 776 of the family's 1533-position model. The record is from RNAcentral.